Molecule: ribosomal RNA, 253 nt
Filed under: uncultured bacterium
Lineage: Bacteria
Description: partial 16S ribosomal RNA
Rfam family: Bacterial small subunit ribosomal RNA
Source: RNAcentral
UACAUAGGGUGCAAGCGUUAAUCGGAAUUACUGGGCGUAAAGCGUGCGCAGGCGGUGAUGUAAGACAGGUGUGAAAUCCCCGGGCUUAACCUGGGAACUGCAUUUGUGACUGCAUCGCUGGAGUGCGGCAGAGGGGGAUGGAAUUCCGCGUGUAGCAGUGAAAUGCGUAGAUAUGCGGAGGAACACCGAUGGCGAAGGCAAUCCCCUGGGCCUGCACUGACGCUCAUGCACGAAAGCGUGGGGAGCAAACAGG